GGCCCCGCGCAGGGAGAGACCGGCCAGGAGCCGGCGCCGAAGGAGCAACCGCCCCGGAAACUCUCAGGCACAAAGGACCGGCGCGGGACG
Molecule: non-coding RNA, 90 nt
Filed under: Sphingomonas sp.
Lineage: Bacteria; Pseudomonadati; Pseudomonadota; Alphaproteobacteria; Sphingomonadales; Sphingomonadaceae
Also listed under: 1 other name
Description: Glycine sequence
Rfam family: Glycine riboswitch aptamer
About the family: This family represents the bacterial glycine riboswitch. Glycine riboswitches usually consist of two metabolite-binding aptamers domains with similar structures in tandem. The aptamers cooperatively bind glycine to regulate the expression of downstream genes.
Source: RNAcentral